Non-coding RNA from Oncorhynchus mykiss (rainbow trout), 592 nucleotides. Lineage: Eukaryota; Metazoa; Chordata; Actinopteri; Salmoniformes; Salmonidae. The record is from RefSeq and is a predicted model, not a curated record.
UAUGGCAUCUUCUGAUUGGGUGUCUCAGGUCAGGACUUUGUUAUGACAUCUUCUGAUUGGGUGUCUCAGGUCAGGACUUUGUUAUGACAUCUUCUGAUUGGGUGUCUCAGGUCAGGUCUGAGCCAUGAUCAGAAUGUGUCUGUCUAUUUCCAGCCUUGCCAUUUCUACCUGUCCUGAUCUAGUGUUUGACCCCUGACCUCCACACAACGUCUCACUGUCCAUGUCUGCUUUUAGCUCCCACCUCUACUUCACUGUGUUAUAAUGAACCUUAUGCUUGUUAUGUCACCUCUGUAACCAGGUAUCAAACAUCCUGACCUUUCUGACCCUGUCCCAUGGCCCCACUUCACUGUGUUAUAAUGGACCUUAUGCUUGUUAUGUCACCUCUGUAACCAGGUAUCAAACAUACUGACCUUCCUGACCCUGUCCCAUGGCCCUACUUUCUACAACUAAACAUUUAAAUCCUCUAAGUUUUGUUUAGUGUCCACUUACUUAUUUAUUUAUGUAUUUGUUGUAUAUUGGGGUUGUGCAGCAGAGCAUCAUGGGGGUUUGUAUGUGUUGAGAUGAUCACGUUCCAGAUAAAUGGUUGAACUGA